Molecule: long non-coding RNA, 265 nt
Filed under: Rosa chinensis
Lineage: Eukaryota; Viridiplantae; Streptophyta; Magnoliopsida; Rosales; Rosaceae
Description: sRNA RchiOBHm_Chr7g0183871
Source: RNAcentral
GCUCCUAUCAUCAUUAGUUUCAUCAAGGUACAAGCACUACAAAAAAGAAUUGAUGUAAUUGAUAUGAUAUUUUUGCCAUGCUUCAUGUGAGAUGUAUGACAUUUCUCAAGGUCUGACCAAAUUUGUUUGAAUAAAUAGAGAAGGCGGUCGGUAUAGCUUUAUAGGUUUAGUAACACAAAUUUCACAGUGUAAUAGAGGAUGUUCUUAUUGCAACAUAAUCACACAUUUCUUUAUUCAGAGCAGUAAAAAUUUUGGAUUUCCUUUU